CAAGUCGAACGGUAACGCGGGGCAACCUGGCGACGAGUGGCGAACGGGUGAGUAAUAUAUCGGAACGUGCCCUAGAGUGGGGGAUAACUAGUCGAAAGACUAGCUAAUACCGCAUACGAUCUACGGAUGAAAGUGGGGGAUCGCAAGACCUCAUGCUCCUGGAGCGGCCGAUAUCUGAUUAGCUAGUUGGUAGGGUAAAAGCCUACCAAGGCGACGAUCAGUAGCUGGUCUGAGAGGACGACCAGCCACACUGGGACUGAGACACGGCCCAGACUCCUACGUGAGGCAGCAGUGGGGAAUUUUGGACAAUGGGGGCAACCCUGAUCCAGCAAUGCCGCGUGAGUGAAGAAGGCCUUCGGGUUGUAAAGCUCUUUUGUCAGGGAAGAAACGGUCUGGGCUAAUACCCUGGGCUAAUGACGGUACCUGAAGAAUAAGCACCGGCUAACUACGUGCCAGCAGCCGCGGUAAUACGUAGGGUGCGAGCGUUAAUCGGAAUUACUGGGCGUAAAGCGUGCGCAGGCGGUUUGGUAAGACAGAUGUGAAAUCCCCGGGCUUAACCUGGGAAUUGCAUUUGUGACUGCCCGGCUAGAGUGUGUCAGAGGGGGGUAGAAUUCCACGUGUAGCAGUGAAAUGCGUAGAUAUGUGGAGGAAUACCGAUGGCGAAGGCAGCCCCCUGGGAUAACACUGACGCUCAUGCACGAAAGCGUGGGGAGCAAACAGGAUUAGAUACCCUGGUAGUCCACGCCCUAAACGAUGUCUACUAGUUGUCGGGUCUUAAUUGACUUGGUAACGCAGCUAACGCGUGAAGUA
This 810-nucleotide ribosomal RNA is filed under the name uncultured Herbaspirillum sp. RNAcentral's name for it is "bacterial SSU rRNA". It matches the Rfam family "Bacterial small subunit ribosomal RNA", at positions 58 to 866 of the family's 1533-position model. Lineage: Bacteria; Pseudomonadati; Pseudomonadota; Betaproteobacteria; Burkholderiales; Oxalobacteraceae. The record is from RNAcentral.